RNAcentral lists this ribosomal RNA (381 nucleotides) under uncultured eukaryote. RNAcentral describes it as "partial 18S ribosomal RNA". It matches the Rfam family "Eukaryotic small subunit ribosomal RNA", at positions 592 to 976 of the family's 1831-position model. The record is from RNAcentral.
CAAUAGCGUAUAUUAAAGCUGUUGCGGUUAAAAAGCUCGUAGUUGGAUUUCUGUCAAGGACAACUGGUCCGCCUUCCGGGUGAGCACAUAGUUUGGUCUUGGCAUCUUGCUGGAAGCUGUUGCUGCACUUGGCUGUGUGGCGCAGCGUCCAGCACUUUCACUUUGAGGAAAUUGGAGUGUUUCAAGCAGGCACAUGCCUUUGGACACAGUAGCAUGGAAUAAUUAGAUUGGGCUUUUGCUCCAAUUUGUCGGUUUCUGGAGCUGAGGUGAGAAUUAAUGGGGAUUGUUGGGGGCAUCCGAAUUUAGCCGUCAGAGGUGAAAUUCUUGGAUCUGCUAAAGACGGACAACUGCGAAAGCGUUUGCCCAGGAUGUUUUCAUUGA